ACGGGUGAGUAACGCGUGGGUAACCUGCCUCAUACAGGGGGAUAACAGUUGGAAACGACUGUUAAUACCGCAUAAGACCACAGCACCGCAUGGUGCAGGGGUAAAAACUCCGGUGGUAUGAGAUGGACCCGCGUUCGAUUAGCCAGUUGGCGGGGUAACGGCCCACCAAAGCGACGAUCGAUAGCCGAUCUGAGAGGAUGACCGGCCACAUUGGGACUGAGACACGGCCCAAACUCCUACGGGAGGCAGCAGUGGGGAAUAUUGCACAAUGGGGGAAACCCUGAUGCAGCGACGCCGCGUGAGUGAAGAAGUAUUUCGGUAUGUAAAGCUCUAUCAGCAGGGAAGAUAAUGACAGUACCUGACUAAGAAGCCCCGGCUAACUACGUGCCAGCAGCCGCGGUAAUACGUAGGGGGCAAGCGUUAUCCGGAUUUACUGGGUGUAAAGGGAGCGUAGACGGAAUGGCAAGUCUGAAGUGAAAUACCCGGGCUCAACCUGGGAACUGCUUUGGAAACUGUUGUUCUAGAGUGUUGGAGAGGUAAGUGGAAUUCCUGGUGUAGCGGUGAAAUGCGUAGAUAUCAGGAAGAACACCGGAGGCGAAGGCGGCUUACUGGACAAUAACUGACGUUGAGGCUCGAAAGCGUGGGGAUCAAACAGGAUUAGAUACCCUGGUAGUCCACGCUGUAAAC
RNAcentral lists this ribosomal RNA (687 nucleotides) under uncultured bacterium. Its description in RNAcentral is "bacterial SSU rRNA". It matches the Rfam family "Bacterial small subunit ribosomal RNA", at positions 102 to 807 of the family's 1533-position model. The record is from RNAcentral.